This 559-nucleotide ribosomal RNA is filed under the name uncultured Actinomycetes bacterium. RNAcentral's name for it is "bacterial SSU rRNA". It matches the Rfam family "Bacterial small subunit ribosomal RNA", at positions 1 to 556 of the family's 1533-position model. The record is from RNAcentral. Lineage: Bacteria; Bacillati; Actinomycetota; Actinomycetes.
CGCUUGACAUGAUUCGAAUCGUCACCUCCCCAGAUAGACUGGCUAUCUNGAACGCUGGAGGAGUGCUUAACACAUGCAAGUCGAACGGUAAGGCCCUUCUUGGGCACACGAGUGGCGAACGGGUGAGUAACACGUGAGUAACCUGCCCCGGACUCUGGGAUAAGCAUUCGAAAGGGUGUCUAAUACUGGAUAGGACUCCUGCCUGCAUGGGUGGGGGUGGAAAGAUUUUUUGGUUCGGGAUGGGCUCGCGGCCUAUCAGCUUGUUGGUGGGGUGAUGGCCUACCAAGGCGUCGACGGGUAGCCGGCCUGAGAGGGCGACCGGCCACACUGGGACUGAGAUACGGCCCAAACUCCUACGGGAGGCAGCAGUGGGGAAUAUUGCGCAAUGGGCGGAAGCCUGACGCANCAACGCCGCGUGCGGGAUGACGGCCUUCGGGUUGUAAACCGCUUUCACCCAUGACGAAAAUUUUUUUGACGGUNGUGGGAGAAGAAGCACCGGCCAACUACGUGCCAGCAGCCGCGGUGAUACGUAAGGUGCGAGCGUUGUCCGGAAUUAUUG